GGGGAAUUUUCCGCAAUGGGCGAAAGCCUGACGGAGCAAGACCGCGUGGGGGAUGAAGGUUUGUGGAUUGUAAACCCCUUUUGAUUGGGAAGAAUACUGACGGUACCAAUCGAAUAAGCCUCGGCUAACUCCGUGCCAGCAGCCGCGGUAAUACGGAGGAGGCAAGCGUUAUCCGGAAUUAUUGGGCGUAAAGCGUCCGUAGGUGGUUUAGUAAGUCUGCUGUUAAAGCGCGGGGCUUAGCUCCGUAUCGGCAGUGGAAACUACUAGACUAGAGUGUGGUAGGGGUAGAGGGAAUUCCCAGUGUAGCGGUGAAGUGCGUAGAUAUUGGGAAGAACACCGGUGGCGAAAGCGCUCUACUGGGCCAUAACUGACACUCAGGGACGAAAGCUAGGGUAGCGAAAGGGAUUAGAUACCCCUGUAGUC
RNAcentral lists this ribosomal RNA (423 nucleotides) under uncultured cyanobacterium. Its description in RNAcentral is "bacterial SSU rRNA". It matches the Rfam family "Bacterial small subunit ribosomal RNA", at positions 356 to 795 of the family's 1533-position model. Lineage: Bacteria; Bacillati; Cyanobacteriota. The record is from RNAcentral.